RNAcentral lists this ribosomal RNA (425 nucleotides) under uncultured bacterium. RNAcentral describes it as "bacterial SSU rRNA". It matches the Rfam family "Bacterial small subunit ribosomal RNA", at positions 356 to 773 of the family's 1533-position model. The record is from RNAcentral.
GGGGAAUAUUGCGCAAUGGGCGAAAGCCUGACGCAGCCAUACCGCGUGUGUGAAGAAGGCCUUCGGGUUGUAAAGCACUUUCAGUGGGGAGGAAAAGCUGGUGGCUAAUAUCCCUCGGCCGUGACGCUACCCACAGAAGAAGCACCGGCUAAUUCCGUGCCAGCAGCCGCGGUAAUACGGAAGGUGCGAGCGUUAAUCGGAAUUACUGGGCGUAAAGCGCACGUAGGUGGCUUGGUAAGUCGGAUGUGAAAGCCCCGGGCUCAACCUGGGAACUGCAUUCGAUACUGCUGAGCUAGAGUACGAAAGAGGGGGGUGGAAUUCCAGGUGUAGCGGUGAAAUGCGUAGAGAUCUGGAGGAACACCAGUGGCGAAGGCGGCCCCCUGGUUCGAGACUGACGCUGAGGUGCGAAAGCGUGGGGAGCAAAC